UAUCCUUCUCAGCGUUCAGGCUAAGAUCAAGUUUAGUAUCUGUUCUUAUCAGUUUACUAUCUGAUACAUCCUCUAUCACUGAUACUCUUGUGUGAAUAAUGAACUCAAUUGUUUUUGAGGUGAUGAUUCCAAAUACCUAUAAACUUGGAAUCACCUAAAUUUUUGCUUUGCUUCUUUAGACCACAU
This is a non-coding RNA of Cricetulus griseus (Chinese hamster), 186 nucleotides long. The record is from RefSeq and is a predicted model, not a curated record. NCBI's taxonomy places the organism in Eukaryota, Metazoa, Chordata, Mammalia, Rodentia, Cricetidae.